Molecule: ribosomal RNA, 116 nt
Filed under: Spirochaetaceae bacterium
Lineage: Bacteria; Pseudomonadati; Spirochaetota; Spirochaetia; Spirochaetales; Spirochaetaceae
Source: RNAcentral
UCUGGUGACCAUAGCGGAGGGGUCCCACCCGUUCCCAUCCCGAACACGGAAGUUAAGCCCUCCUGCGCCGAUGGUACUGCCCUGUAGUGGGGUGGGAGAGUAGGUCGUUGCCAGGC